This 465-nucleotide ribosomal RNA is filed under the name uncultured bacterium. RNAcentral's name for it is "partial 16S ribosomal RNA". It matches the Rfam family "Bacterial small subunit ribosomal RNA", at positions 28 to 507 of the family's 1533-position model. The record is from RNAcentral.
GACGAACGCUGGCGGCGUGCUUAACACAUGCAAGUCGUACGGUAAGGCCCUUUCGGGGGUACACGAGUGGCGAACGGGUGAGUAACACGUGAGUAACCUGCCCACAACUUUGGGAUAACGCUAGGAAACUGGUGCUAAUACUGGAUAUGUGCUCCUGCUGCAUGGUGGGGGUUGGAAAGCUCCGGCGGUUGUGGAUGGACUCGCGGCCUAUCAGCUUGUUGGUGGGGUAGUGGCCUACCAAGGCGGCGACGGGUAGCCGGCCUGAGAGGGUGACCGGCCACAUUGGGACUGAGAGACGGCCCAGACUCCUACGGGAGGCAGCAGUGGGGAAUAUUGCACAAUGGGCGCAAGCCUGAUGCAGCAACGCCGCGUGCGGGAGGACGGCCUUCGGGUUGGAAACCGCUUUCAGCAGGGACGAAGCUUUUUGUGACGGUACCUGCAGAAGAAGCACCGGCUAACUACGUG